RNAcentral lists this ribosomal RNA (626 nucleotides) under uncultured bacterium. RNAcentral describes it as "bacterial SSU rRNA". It matches the Rfam family "Bacterial small subunit ribosomal RNA", at positions 70 to 694 of the family's 1533-position model. The record is from RNAcentral.
AAAGGGCCCUUCGGGGCCCGAGUAAAGUGGCGAACGAGUGCGUAACACGUAGGCAACCUGCCCUCGAGCGGGGGAUAACCACCGGAAACGGUGGCUAAUACCGCGUGAAGACUGGAGGUCGCAUGACUACCAGUUGAAAGACUUCGGUCGCUCGAGGAUGGGCCUGCGUCGGAUUAGCUUGUUGGUGAGGUAUACGGCUCACCAAGGCAACGAUCCGUAGCUGGUCUGAGAGGAUGAUCAGCCACACUGGCACUGAGACACGGGCCAGACUCCUACGGGAGGCAGCAGUGAGGAAUCUUGCGCAAUGGAGGAAACUCUGACGCAGCCACGCCGCGUGAAGGAAGACACCCCUAUGGGGCGUAAACUUCUUUUAUAUGGGAAGAACACCCUGCUCGGCAGGGUCUGACGGUACCAUAUGAAUAAGCACCGGCUAACUCCGUGCCAGCAGCCGCAGUAAUACGGAGGGUGCAAGCGUUGUCCGGAAUCACUGGGUGUAAAGGGUGUGUAGGUGGGACUGUAAGUCAGAGGUGAAAGCCCACGGCUCAACCGUGAAAUGCCUUGAUACUGCAGUUCUUGAGUCCUGGAGAGGUCGCUGGAAUUCGUGGUGUAGCGGUGAAAUGCGUAGA